CUGAACUUAAGCAUAUCAAUAAGCGGAGGAAAAGAAACCAACAGGGAUUGCCUCAGUAACGGCGAGUGAAGCGGCAAAAGCUCAAAUUUGAAAUCUGCUUCGGGGCCCGAGUUGUAAUUUGUAGAGGAUGCUUCGGGCGUGGCCGCGGUCUAAGUCCCCUGGAACGGGGUGUCGCAGAGGGUGAGAAUCCCGUCUUCGGCCGGCCGUUCGCCCAUGUGAAGCUCCUUCGACGAGUCGAGUUGUUUGGGAAUGCAGCUCUAAAUGGGUGGUAAAUUUCAUCUAAAGCUAAAUACUGGUCGGAGACCGAUAGCGCACAAGUAGAGUGAUCGAAAGAUGAAAAGCACUUUGAAAAGAGAGUUAAACAGCAUCGUGAAAUUGUUGAAAGGGAAGCGCUUGCGACCAGAGUCGGCCGCGGGGGUUCAGCGGGCAUUCGUUGCCCGUGCACUCCCCGUGGGCGGGCCAGCGUCGGUUUCGACGGCCGGUCAAAGGCCCCCGGAAUGUGUCACCUUCGGGGUGUCUUAUAGCCGGGGGUGCAAUGCGGCCAGUCGGGACCGAGGAACGCGCUUCGGCACGGACGCUGGCUU
Molecule: ribosomal RNA, 584 nt
Filed under: [Emmonsia] crescens
Lineage: Eukaryota; Fungi; Ascomycota; Eurotiomycetes; Onygenales; Ajellomycetaceae
Description: LSU rRNA
Rfam family: Eukaryotic large subunit ribosomal RNA
Source: RNAcentral